RNAcentral lists this ribosomal RNA (497 nucleotides) under uncultured bacterium. RNAcentral's name for it is "partial 16S ribosomal RNA". It matches the Rfam family "Bacterial small subunit ribosomal RNA", at positions 28 to 507 of the family's 1533-position model. The record is from RNAcentral.
GAUGAACGCUGGCGGCGUGCCUAAUACAUGCAAGUCGAGCGAACAGACGAGGAGCUUGCUCCUCUGACGUUAGCGGCGGACGGGUGAGUAACACGUGGAUAACCUACCUAUAAGACUGGGAUAACUUCGGGAAACCGGAGCUAAUACCGGAUAAUAUAUUGAACCGCAUGGUUCAAUAGUGAAAGACGGUUUUGCUGUCACUUAUAGAUGGAUCCGCGCCGCAUUAGCUAGUUGGUAAGGUAACGGCUUACCAAGGCAACGAUGCGUAGCCGACCUGAGAGGGUGAUCGGCCACACUGGAACUGAGACACGGUCCAGACUCCUACGGGAGGCAGCAGUAGGGAAUCUUCCACAAUGGGCGAAAGCCUGACGGAGCAACGCCGCGUGAGUGAUGAAGGUCUUCGGAUCGUAAAACUCUGUUAUUAGGGAAGAACAACUGUGUAAGUAACUAUGCACGUCUUGACGGUACCUAAUCAGAAAGCCACGGCUAACUACGUG